RNAcentral lists this unclassified non-coding RNA (328 nucleotides) under soil metagenome. RNAcentral's name for it is "partial contains 5.8S ribosomal RNA, internal transcribed spacer 2, and large subunit ribosomal RNA". The stretch from base 1 to 120 matches the Rfam family "5.8S ribosomal RNA", at positions 35 to 154 of the family's 154-position model. The record is from RNAcentral.
GAUGAAGAACGUAGCGAAAUGCGAUAAGUAAUGUGAAUUGCAGAAUUCAGUGAAUCAUCGAAUCUUUGAACGCACAUUGCGCCCCUUGGUAUUCCGAGGGGCAUGCCUGUUCGAGCGUCAUUAUAACCCUCAAGCUCAGCUUGGUGUUGGGGCCUGCUGCACUGGCAGCCCUUAAAAUCAGUGGCGGCGCCAUCUGGCUCUAAGCGUAGUAAUUCUUCUCGCUAUGGAGUCCUGGUGGAUGCUUGCCAUCAACCCCCAAUUUUUCUAUGGUUGACCUCGAAUCAGGUAGGGAUACCCGCUGAACUUAAGCAUAUCAAUAAGCGGAGGA